CACAACUACAGACCUUUAAGUCAGUCGGAAGAAACACGCAUGCACAGAACAGUCACAUCCAGCUGGACCACUGCGCCUUUAUCCACGUGACCGUGGUGGCAGAGAACGCAGCAGACCUGAAGACAGUCGUGUACUCGGACCCGGUCCUGGUGGACCUGACACCGCCAGUUAUCUCUGACGUUAAGGACGGAAGUCAACUAGAGGACUUGGACUACCAGAACACGUCUGUCAUUUCCCUGUACUGGGAUGUACGUGAUAAAGAGAGCGGUGUGGACUUUUGUGACUGGACAAUCGGACUGUCGCCAGGGUCCGGGGAACUCCAGCCUUUUGUACGCCUGCCGUCUGUUCAUGUGCCACACGCCGUGUCUGACCUAAAAUACAGUUGACAAAGUAUCACUAAAAGAAAUAGAUUUUAUACCUUUUGUGUGGCCAUGGCAACGGGUUCCUGACAGGCAUUCUAACAUUAAUAACUGUAUAAAUUUUCACCCAUGGACAAUAUUCCUGUGUGUUUGUUUCGUUUUAAAUAACGUAAUGCUGCAUAAGGCCAUGUUGAUUUGAUUAUAUGGAUGACAUCCUCCGGGAACCCCAAAACUGAUGCGAGCGUGCGAAUAAAAAAAAAGUUUGGCCAAAAAAAAAGUUCCCUAAGUAUAAAAUCUAUGUAGUCAGGAAGGACGAAAAAAUGACCAAAUACACAGAGUUUGGUAUA
This is a long non-coding RNA of Branchiostoma belcheri (Belcher's lancelet), 706 nucleotides long. RefSeq lists it as uncharacterized. The record is from RefSeq and is a predicted model, not a curated record. The transcript is spliced from 3 exons. NCBI's taxonomy places the organism in Eukaryota, Metazoa, Chordata, Leptocardii, Amphioxiformes, Branchiostomatidae.